GAUUCGGGGUGCAGCAGGCGCGAAAACUUUGCAAUACACGAAAGUGUGACAGGGUCAUCCCGAGUGCCGACCGCUGAGGUUGGCUUUUACCCAGUCUAGAAAGCUGGGGGAAUAAGGAGAGGGCAAGUCUGGUGUCAGCCGCCGCGGUAAUACCAGCUCUCCGAGUGGUGUGGACGUUUAUUGGGCCUAAAGCAUCCGUAGCUGGCUGAGCAAGUCCCCUGUUAAACCCACCGAUUUAAUCGUUGGCGUGCGGGGGAUACUGUUCGGCUAGGGGACGAGAGAGGCAGGCGGUAUUCCCGGGGUAGGGGUGAAAUCCUAUAAUCCCGAGAAGACCACCAGUGGCGAAGGCUGCCUGCUAGAACGCGCCCGACGGUGAGGGAUGAAAGCUGGGGGAGCGAACCGGAUUAGAUACCCGGGUAGUCCCAGCUGUAAACGAUGCAGACUAGGUGUUUGGACGGCCACGUGCCGUUCUAGUGCCGCAGGGAAGCUGUUAAGUCUGCCGCCUGGGGAGUACGAUCGCAAGAUUGAAACUUAAAGGAAUUGGCGGGGGAGCACAAUCACUAGUGAAU
Molecule: ribosomal RNA, 569 nt
Filed under: uncultured archaeon
Lineage: Archaea
Description: bacterial SSU rRNA
Rfam family: Archaeal small subunit ribosomal RNA
Source: RNAcentral